This 564-nucleotide ribosomal RNA is filed under the name Lactobacillus gasseri. RNAcentral's name for it is "bacterial SSU rRNA". It matches the Rfam family "Bacterial small subunit ribosomal RNA", at positions 334 to 886 of the family's 1533-position model. The record is from RNAcentral. Lineage: Bacteria; Bacillati; Bacillota; Bacilli; Lactobacillales; Lactobacillaceae.
UCCCCCUCUGGGGGGGGGGGGAAGUUGGGAAUCUUCCACAAUGGACGCAAGUCUGAUGGAGCAACGCCGCGUGAGUGAAGAAGGGUUUCGGCUCGUAAAGCUCUGUUGGUAGUGAAGAAAGAUAGAGGUAGUAACUGGCCUUUAUUUGACGGUAAUUACUUAGAAAGUCACGGCUAACUACGUGCCAGCAGCCGCGGUAAUACGUAGGUGGCAAGCGUUGUCCGGAUUUAUUGGGCGUAAAGCGAGUGCAGGCGGUUCAAUAAGUCUGAUGUGAAAGCCUUCGGCUCAACCGGAGAAUUGCAUCAGAAACUGUUGAACUUGAGUGCAGAAGAGGAGAGUGGAACUCCAUGUGUAGCGGUGGAAUGCGUAGAUAUAUGGAAGAACACCAGUGGCGAAGGCGGCUCUCUGGUCUGCAACUGACGCUGAGGCUCGAAAGCAUGGGUAGCGAACAGGAUUAGAUACCCUGGUAGUCCAUGCCGUAAACGAUGAGUGCUAAGUGUUGGGAGGUUUCCGCCUCUCAGUGCUGCAGCUAACGCAUUAAGCACUCCGCCUGGAGACGACCGA